This 44-nucleotide non-coding RNA is filed under the name Trypanosoma brucei brucei. The record is from RNAcentral. Lineage: Eukaryota; Euglenozoa; Kinetoplastea; Trypanosomatida; Trypanosomatidae.
AAUAGUAACACAACGAAUAAGACAUAUAUAGAGAUGAAUGAUAU